GUCAGAGGAGACUUCUUCACUAAAAAGAAGAGUUUAAUAUCAGACUUUUUAUUCUUUCAAUAAGAUUUUGUAUUUCACAGUCUCUACCCUUCUGUUUAAGAAUCUGAAAACAGGCAUUUUCUGGUUUACAUUGAAACACAGGAGUCUUAAAUAUCUCUUCAGCUGCUUCCUAAUGUUUGUUCCACAGGAAGGGAGUUAGUUCAUAGCAUAGUGUGCUUUGUUUUAUCCACAUCAGCAAAGCAGAUAAACUCAGCCUCUCUUCAUCUGGGAAAGGGGCAGAAUAGCACCAGGAGACAGGGCAAUACUGAAGGAUUAUUGUGAAUGUUUCAGGGAACAAGACGACUUUCAGGUACCUGGAAUUGUUCCUUUGACUCGGCAUUUCCCUUUUCUGAACUUCAAGAGGUUCCUGUCAACCUGUUCCUCCAUUUGCAAACAUUUGGUGUAGCAGCCACUCCUUCCAGUUUUGUAUCAUCUGGAAACCUGCUGAGAGUGCGCUCUGUCCCACUGUCCAGAUAUUUCUCCGCGUCUCAGGGAUCUGAGAUUCCUGAAGGCUGGUCUUACCAGUAGAGACCAAUGAGAAAAGAACAGUGGAGACUGAUCACUCUUGAGUCUUGAAGAGGUGAUGCUUGAAAAUCAGUCAGCUCUCCUGAACUCCUCCUCUAUUCUGCAGGAUGGUGUCUUAAGAUAAGAUUCUUCCAAGCAGGUCCCUGAACAGGCCCACUGUUUGCUUUCCCAAUGUCCUGGGUUGUUAACUUGCUGUCUGCUCUCAGGAUCCUGAGCUCCAUUACCCUAUGGUCAUGGUGGCUAGGGCUGCUCCUGACAUUCACAUUACCAAACAGUUCUUCUUGUUUGUAAAAGUCAGGUCCUGCAAAGCAUCUCCUCUCUUCACCUCCUUAAUCGCCUGUAUCAGGAAAUUGUCCUUCAGUGCAUUCCAGAAAUCUCCUGGGUUGCUUUUGUCCUGCUGUCUUGCUCCUCCAACAUAUAUCAGGGUUGUCAAUGAUUUCUGUGAGUACCUGGGCUGGUAAAUAUGAGAUUUCUUUUGGCUAUCUGAAGGAGAUCUGAUCUAUUUCUAGCUGAUCAUAGUCUGUAGCAGACACCCACACCGAUGUCACCCACAUUAACCUGCCAGCCAGCCCAGACUCAUAAGCUCUCAGCUGGCUCAUGGCAGAGCUCCAUACAUUUCUACUUCUCUCUCUAAAAUCCUUCUCAUCAUCCUGACCUGUCCUUCCCAAAGAGCCUGUAUCCAGCCUUUGCAGUACUCCAGAGAUUUCAAAAUUCAGGCUCCAUCUACUGAAGAAUUCAAAGUUACAAGAGUGUAUUUUUAGAAAAUUGUGGACUUCUACUCAGCAUACCAGACUCCAUUACAGCACUGCUAAGGUAAUAUCUACAUUUAUAGCUGUCAUUAAUAUGGUAUAUUUAAGAGCUUUAGUUGCAUUUUAUCCUUCAUGGGGUAGGGUAAUAAGAUGUAAUUAAAGGAGUCAGGGGCUGUAUUACAGAAAUAUUUGCCACCACAUGUGUAGCACGAAGAUUACUUUGCAAAGAGACAACUGGGAGCCAAAGCAGUUCAGAGUAUUUCUUCACAUAUUCAUGGCAAAAGCACAAUGGCACUUGUCAUUAAAAAAAAUUCUAACACAAGACCUUGUUCAAUCACUGUGUCUGAAAAUGGCUUAAAUUUGAUUAGUAUGUGCAGGUAAUGGGGACUAGGCAACAGCAUAAAAAUGGUCCUGUUGAUUUAUGUCUGAAGAGUCCAGAUACAUGAUCUACAAUCUGCAGCUGAAAAAAGCUUUUUGCUUUCCUUUUGCUGCAGAAAUCGCUUGGAACAAGGGUCAUCCCAAAACAAAAGCAAUUCAAGCAGCCUAUCUGAGAGGAAGAUGAGGAAGGAAGGAAGGGGGCUUAUUUCAUCUUCCGCACUGCCAAUCAUUUCACAUCGUCCCAGAUUAUGCAAUAUACCAUAGCAGGGACUGUGAAGCAUGAGUUCAUCAGGAAAGGGCACAUUCAUUAGUGCUGCUGCCACGUGUGGUCUCAGAUGUCUGAGGUAGAAAGGUCACAGCCACAGACUUCACAGCAUCACCAUCGGGCCUCAGUCCACACCCACUCCUGGUUAUCCAGGGUUAUGAGGAAAGAGGUUAAACGCUUUCAUGUGAAAUCUGUUUAUCCUGUAGUCAUACAAAGAAGAAUCCAGUUAAAUUAAGUAUCUCCCUUAAGAAUGACAGUUACUACACAGUACAGAUUAAAACAAAAUUGCAUGAAUUAGUGAUCUGAUUUCAUUUUGCAGUGAUGGUUUACAAUGUGUAGUGUCUGACAAUAUAUCCUAAAUUGAGGAUUUAAAAUGUCUAACGAUAUGUAAUGUCUUUGGUGCUCAAACUCUUGUUCCUUCGUUUGCAUCUAAAUCAUGGUGAGAAAAACUGGGUUGGCAUAAGGCACAAGAUUUUUUCUCGUAUAAAAAAAAAAAUCAGCUCUGUUGGAAUAAGGUAAGAUUACAAAACUAAGAGCAAGAUUAUGUCAGAUCAGGGGUUGUUUCAUAUGGUCACAACCUUUCUUUUCCUUGAAUAUCUGGGUUUAUUAUAUUUCAAUAAUCUUUAGAAAAGUGUUGAAAAUCCAUUUUUUAAACUGGUCUUUGUCCUUUAACUGAAUUCCUCACAUAGACAUGCACACACACCCUUAAUCCUUUCCAUUAUGCACCAACAGGCUUCAGUGGAGCCCCCAGUCACAGCACUUCUGAAGUCAAACAUGUUGGGUCUCCUGUGGAAGCUAUCUUGCAAAUUCUUGCAGACCAGAUGUGCGAUCCCAGUUUAAGCAACCAGCCAGCUCUGCAAAUUGCUGGUACAAAUCAGAUACAGUCUUCUUCCUUUAUUUUGUUCUGGCUUAAAGCAGCUCUCUGAGAUCAACCUCAUCCAUGCAAUUGUCCCAAAGAGAAUUGCUAGAUUUAGCUGACAGAUGCAUAAAAUCUCAUGUUGUCACAGAAUUCCCAUGUCUAGUCAGCACCAGAUGUCAAAGAAUGCAAAUCUACAGCUGGGUCUGGUGUUCAUUUGUACUCCAAAUUCCUUCCCUCACAGCUGUUGUUUUCCACCUCCAUGUACAUAAAGCUGAAUUUUCAGAAGGAGAUAGACCAUGGCUCCUUAUAUUGAUGUGAAUAUAUAUGUUUCUUUAUUUGCCUGGAAAACACCUUUUUGGAUUGAAUAAUAGUGUAUUGGUGAGGGUAUAUUUGAGUAUGCUCACACAUCAGUAUUGAAAACAACUUUGCUUAUCUUAUAAUCUCUUCUCAACAAGUUCUGUGGAACCAAAGUUGUUUUUCCAAGUAGCUCUUUAGAGGUACAGAAUUGGAUUGUCACCCUUGCUUAGGCCUCCUGGGCACCAUGGAAACAAUAAGCAUGGCCACAGUAGUACAAAACAAAAGGUCUGUAGACAUGAGGAACUGCAGAGCAGUGUUUCUUCAGUUAUCUUCAGGGGCCUUUGCUGGCCAUUCUUAGUGUCUCUCAGGAAAGGAAGCUCUAGCCUGGGACUAUAAUGACUGUUUUGAAAUUUUGUUCUCUCAUGUAGAUAUUACCAGCCUGCACAGCUUUUGAAAUAUUGUCAGUGAGCACCAUUAAAAUAAUAUGUCUGCAAGAACUGAAUUGAUGUGAAUUUUUCCUUUUCUUUUUCCUAUCUAAAUAAGUGGAAAAUUUGAAACAACAGGUAAGGGUGACUACAGCAGUCUACAUGUUUUCCUGAGCUUCCUGUAAAUGAAGUCAAGGUUCAGAAUUUCCAAGGUUCACUUCCAGUGACCUCAAGUGUAGCUUAGAUUUCAUUUCCUUAAAUGAAAGUAACAUGCACAUGGAGACCUUUUCUUUCCACUUACUUUCCACUAUCUUCAAUUCAGUGUGAGUUCUCUGUUGCACAAAUACUAGUCACAAUCUAAGAAAAUAUUUGAUUUCUCACACCUCUGUAUUUCAGCCAGGCAAGAAAGUUGGUUUUCUCUAGGGCUGAGGACACAUUACUGUGUUUAAAAGGGAUGAGUCUUAAAUUAUGAGAGUGGUGAGUACUCAGAACACAGGUUCAAAUUGAAACAAAAAGUCCGAAAUAGACAAUUACAUGUAAAUUCCUGAUUUUUAAGGAAAGCAUAGCACACACUUUUCCAUUGCAACAUGCCUUAUAUUAGACUCAUAGUUUCUCAGAACGUUCGUCUUUUCCUGAACUGUUUUUAUUGACUUCAGCCAGACGAAGAUAUUGUGGUCUUGGUUUUAUCCCCUGCAUGUUUCAAUGCCUGCACCAAAUGCAAUUCCCCUAACAGCGCUGUCUCCCUAACUUCACUGAAACCUGAGGUUUCAGUGGUAAACCAGCAGUGCUGUACGGAUUUCUCAUCCAGUACCUGUAAAUAGCAUAGACUCACCUCACUGGAACUACUACACACUUCAAGUCAUGACCUGGCUUGCAUGAAGCUAUCCCAGCUCUGUCUACAUCACUGCUACCCAAUGCUUCCAGCUCUCGCCCUAGGGCAAGCAGAGCCAGGUCGGGUACCUGCAUCUGUCAUAUGAAUACUCAUAAACGUUCACAUUGCCAAUAAGAUUGAAUCAAAUAAACAAAUCUGGCUAGAAAAUAAUGAAAACUUGACUCUUAAGGUUGCAUAAGCUGAUGCCAGAGUCCUACUAUUCUCAUGAAAUGCUUUAACAUAACUUGAGUGAUAGCUAUGAAACACAAGAGGAACAAAGACGUAGUGUGAAUCCCCAGGUAUUUCUGUAUUUAUUAACUGUGGCUGUAAGACAGAGCAAUGGUAAUGAAAAUGUUAAGUGGCAAAGGCACUUUUGGGAAGUCUAGAAGUGUUUAUUACUACUAUUAUUAUACACAUAUCCACAAUAUCCAUUUUUUAAAGUAGAUAAUAGCAUCAAUUUAGGAAAGCACUGAUUUAAGAUUAAAAAAAAAAAAAGUGGUGUUUAAUGGUUUUACAUUAAGCACUAGCAGAGCCAACCACUAUCAGAUAAGAGGAAAGGAGAGAAAAGAGUAUAAAAUACUUUGUUUGAAGUUAUAUGACCCAGCACAAAUAGCCCUAGUGACCAAGUAGUCCCAGCAUCAGAUACAUGUACUUCAAAUCACAAGGGGAAGUUUUGACAAGUUGAGCCUGAUCUGUCUAGGAUCUAGUGCUAGUGCUCGGAGUGACAGAAACUUUUAUUUAAUUCUGACUUCCUGGAGUUUAUCCUGCAUAUUUUUAAAAGUAUCAGCAAGUUGCAUUUACUUAUUUGGCAUUGAAUGCUUUACAGUGACAAUAUCUCAAUGAACUGUUUAUUAAAAAAAUUAAAAAUGUGUUUACCUAGUUAUAUUUUUAGAUUAGUGACUGUUUUUCUGAAGGAAUAGAAAGGAAUUACUCCCAUGGUAAAAGCAAAUAUUUCUGAAAUUGAUGAAGAAAUACAUGUUCAGGUGUUAAAAACAAAAAAAAGCCAAACAAAAUACCCUAACCUAGCCAGAGAUGACAUUUAAAUAUGAUAAUUCAUGAAAAGAAUAUUAAAAUGUUGAACAAAUAUUAAAGAAAGAGGAAGAGUUGAGAAAGGCGGGGAAGUCAGGGACUUCUUCAUACUCUGUGUAUCAUCAAAAAUACAUUAAAUCUGAGACUGAAAGAUGCUGAGAAUCAAACUGAGAGAAAUCAGCAGGAAAACAAAGUGCCAGUUGUGCCCAGAGUAAAGCACAGAGGAUGCAUGAGGAGGGGGUUAAAAACCUGUCUGAACUGGUGUUUGAAAGGUUUGGGGGAAGCAUCAUUCUGAGACAAAUGGGCAGCUGGGCAGCAGUUGCAUAAAAAAAUAACUGUGGGGAAAAGUAGUGUCACCUAUGAAAAUCAUUGGGAAGGAGGGUUAGAGUUUCUUCCCUCGCAAAGGUUUUCAUUCACAGGAAGAAAUAAAGGACAUUUGUAAAGAAAAAAGUAGUUUGUCUGAGCCUGCCCCUCAUGCUAGAAACAUCACUGCUGUCAGAAAGGAAACACACAUUUUCAGCCAGCAGGUUGAGAGUCAGUCUCCAGUUGCCUCAGUCUCCAGGAGUCAAUAUGCAGUUGGAGAUGGACACUGUGCACACUGAGCCCUGGCAGCACCGGCAUGAGAAAUGGGGCUUGGGCACAACAGCCAGGCUGUGGAGAGCAGCCAUCGCUGCUCAUUCUGUGCUUGCUGUAUAAAAUCAGACACCUCUGGAUUAAUUAUAUUGUAUGCCUGCUUUAUGUUCAUUAUCAUAGAAAUUUGUCUCAGAAGCACUGCCUUCUGCCUG
Long non-coding RNA from Lepidothrix coronata (blue-crowned manakin), 6222 nucleotides. RefSeq lists it as uncharacterized. Lineage: Eukaryota; Metazoa; Chordata; Aves; Passeriformes; Pipridae. The record is from RefSeq and is a predicted model, not a curated record. The transcript has 5 exons.